Molecule: ribosomal RNA, 489 nt
Filed under: uncultured bacterium
Lineage: Bacteria
Description: bacterial SSU rRNA
Rfam family: Bacterial small subunit ribosomal RNA
Source: RNAcentral
AUUGAACGCUGGCGGCAGGCCUAACACAUGCAAGUCGAGCGGAAACGAUCCUAGCUUGCUAGGAGGCGUCGAGCGGCGGACGGGUGAGUAACGCGUGAGAAUCUACCCAUGAGUGGGGGACAACCCGGGGAAACUCCGGGCUAAUACCGCAUACGCCCUACGGGGUAAAGCAGGGGACCUUCGGGCCUUGCGCUGAUGGAUGAGCUCGCGUCGGAUUAGCUUGUUGGUGAGGUAAAGGCUCACCAAGGCGACGAUCCGUAGCUGGUCUGAGAGGAUGAUCAGCCACACCGGGACUGAGACACGGCCCGGACUCCUACGGGAGGCAGCAGUGGGGAAUCUUGGACAAUGGGGGCAACCCUGAUCCAGCCAUGCCGCGUGUGUGAAGAAGGCCUUCGGGUUGUAAAGCACUUUCAGCAGGGAGGAAGGCUUACCCCUAAUACGGGUGAGUACUUGACGUUACCUGCAGAAGAAGCACCGGCUAAUUUCGUG